GGAGAAGUACCCAAGUUGGCCGAAGGGGCGCCCCUGCUAAGGGUGUAGGUCGGGGUUAAACCGGCGCGAGGGUUCAAAUCCCUCCUUCUCCGCCA
This 95-nucleotide transfer RNA is filed under the name Clostridiales bacterium. RNAcentral's name for it is "tRNA-Ser". It matches the Rfam family "tRNA". Rfam says of the family: Transfer RNA (tRNA) molecules are approximately 80 nucleotides in length. Their secondary structure includes four short double-helical elements and three loops (D, anti-codon, and T loops). Further hydrogen bonds mediate the characteristic L-shaped molecular structure. tRNAs have two regions of fundamental functional importance: the anti-codon, which is responsible for specific mRNA codon recognition, and the 3' end, to which the tRNAs corresponding amino acid is attached (by aminoacyl-tRNA synthetases). tRNAs cope with the degeneracy of the genetic code in two manners: having more than one tRNA (with a specific anti-codon) for a particular amino acid; and 'wobble' base-pairing, i.e. permitting non-standard base-pairing at the 3rd anti-codon position. Lineage: Bacteria; Bacillati; Bacillota; Clostridia; Eubacteriales. The record is from RNAcentral.